ACCUGGGUCCCCCUCAAACUGCCAAGAGAAGUAUAUCGGAGGUGUGUCGCCAGAAACGCGCCACGAUUGGCUGCCCGCGCCGUACUUUUUUCUCUUUCACUUUUUGUCUUAUUUUAUUUUUAUUUUAUUUGUUUUUUUUUCUUCCUUCAUAUUCAUUCAUCUCCAUCCUCGUUUUUUUUUUCUCUCUCUCAGAAUCCGUGACGUAACACCACUUUCAAAGCGUGACACAGAGAGCUGCUGCAGAACUGAAAAGAGAACUUUCGGGGGAGUCUAUAGAUACACGAGGUGGUCCUACUACCUACGGUUAAAUUCUACCUACCUAUCUACCUACCCGUGGGAAAGAUUCACCCGCAGGACCUGAGGCGAGAGCUGUUGCAGCAGCAGCAGCAUCAGCGUCAGCGGCGUCAGCAGCGUCAGCAGCUCUGCGAGAAACGUACGUCUCUCCACGUCGCAUUGAUCUAUGGAAACUUGAAGAGAAGCACACAGCGCACGGUGAUAACGGAUGGAGAUAAGUGGGAAAAAAAUGUUCCACACACGGAUAAUGUAUUGAAGUGAGUAGUACAACGUAAUUUAUUGAAUUCUAUGUACAAUCUGCUAUCGUAUUGUAUAGGUAUAUAUUAGUUACAUAUCUUUGAGCGUGUCUCUUCAAGAAUUUUUAACUAAUCCGCGAAAAAUAAACAAUAAUAGCCAUGCUAAUAACUACCGAAAAUCCUAUUCAAAUGAAAUAG
Molecule: long non-coding RNA, 728 nt
Organism: Athalia rosae (coleseed sawfly)
Lineage: Eukaryota; Metazoa; Arthropoda; Insecta; Hymenoptera; Athaliidae
Exons: 3
Source: RefSeq, a predicted model, not a curated record